GACGAACGCUGGCGGCGGGCUUAACACAUGCAAGUCGAACGGAAAGGCCCUGCUUUUGUGGUGUGCUCGAUUGGCGAACGCGUGAGUAACACGUGAGUAACCUGCCCUUCACUUUGGGAUAACUUCAGGUAACUGGAGCUAAUAUCGUAUAGGAUCUCCUGCUCCAUUGUGAGGGUGGGAAAGUUUCGGCGGUUGGGGAUGGACUCGCGGCUUAAGAGCUUGUUGGUGGGGUAGUGGCUUACCAAGGCUGUGACGGGUCGCCGGCCUGAGAGGGUGACCGGCCUCAUUGGGACUGAGAUACGGCCCAGACUCCUACGGGAGGCAGCAGUGGGGAAUAUUGCACAAUGGGCGGGAGCCUGAUGCAGAAACGCCGCGUGCGGGAUGACGGCCUUCGGGUUGUAAACAGCUUUCGCCUGUGACGAAGCGUGAGUGACGGUAAUGGGUAAAGAAGCACCGGCUAACUACGUG
This 468-nucleotide ribosomal RNA is filed under the name uncultured bacterium. RNAcentral's name for it is "partial 16S ribosomal RNA". It matches the Rfam family "Bacterial small subunit ribosomal RNA", at positions 28 to 507 of the family's 1533-position model. The record is from RNAcentral.